UGGGGAAUAUUGGACAAUGGGCGAAAGCCUGAUCCAGCCAUGCCGCGUGUGUGAAGAAGGUCUUCGGAUUGUAAAGCACUUUAAGUUGGGAGGAAGGGCAGUAAGCGAAUACCUUGCUGUUUUGACGUUACCGACAGAAUAAGCACCGGCUAACUCUGUGCCAGCAGCCGCGGUAAUACAGAGGGUGCAAGCGUUAAUCGGAAUUACUGGGCGUAAAGCGCGCGUAGGUGGUUCGUUAAGUUGAAUGUGAAAGCCCCGGGCUCCACCUGGGAACUGCAUCCAAAACUGGCGAGCUAGAGUAGGGCAGAGGGUGGUGGAAUUUGCUGUGUAGCGGUGAAAUGCGUAGAUAUAGGAAGGAACACCAGUGGCGAAGGCGACCACCUGGGCUCAUACUGACACUGAGGUGCGAAAGCGUGGGGAGCAAACAGG
This 429-nucleotide ribosomal RNA is filed under the name Pseudomonadota bacterium. RNAcentral describes it as "Proteobacteria bacterium partial 16S ribosomal RNA". It matches the Rfam family "Bacterial small subunit ribosomal RNA", at positions 355 to 776 of the family's 1533-position model. Lineage: Bacteria; Pseudomonadati; Pseudomonadota. The record is from RNAcentral.